This 781-nucleotide long non-coding RNA is filed under the name Vitis vinifera (wine grape). Its description in RNAcentral is "long non-coding RNA (VVIN_LNC007574)". The stretch from base 645 to 780 matches the Rfam family "U4 spliceosomal RNA". Lineage: Eukaryota; Viridiplantae; Streptophyta; Magnoliopsida; Vitales; Vitaceae. The record is from RNAcentral.
CUUUGCGCUUGGGGCAAUGACGCAGCUAGUGAGGUUCUAACCGAGGCGCGUCAAUUGCUGGUUGAAAACUAUUUCCAAACCCCCUCCUUGGCCUGGGUUACGCCCAGGCCAUCGAGAAUUUCUGGAAGGGCUCCCUAAGGGGUAAAGCCCUACAAUACACAAGUUUAAAAGAUUAUCCUUUAUUGUAUAUGCUUCUAUGAGUAGCAGUUUAUAGGUUUAAUUGCUUUUCACUUCCAUGUUCAGUUUAUGACCCUGUGGGAUAGGGGUAUAUAAUGGUUAGUGAUAAAUGUUUCAUUCUUAAAUUUUAUAUUUUAAAAGUAUUUUUAUUAAAAAUAAGAAUAAUUAUGAUUUUUUUUUUUUUUAAGUAAAUAAGAAUAUUUUCGGUUGGGAAUCUUCUUGCUUCAUUAGAGAAAUGUGAGACCUUGAGACUCGUACAUGAGGGCUUCAGACCAGAAGUUCCGAGAUGAAAAUGAUCUAAUUAAAUACAUUGCAUAGUUGAAAUAGAUCCGAUUUCGUAGGAUCUUAUACCAAUAAGAAACCAGGGAGAGGACCUUUGAAGGCGGGUUGUCCCACAUCGGAACCAGAUAGGAAUUAAUCGAGGAGCUAGAGAUUAUAAAAUGGAAGGCAAAGGAUCAAUUAAAAUUAUCUUUGCGCUUGGGGCAAUGACGCAGCUAAUGAGGUUCUAACCGAGGCGCGUCAAUUGCUGGUUGAAAACUAUUUCCAAACCCCCUCUUUGGCCUGGGUUUGGCCCAGGCCAUUGAGAAUUUCUGGAAGGGCUCCC